GUGAUUGACUUUCCAUAACAAGUUGAGUUGGAGAAACAAUUGAACUUGUACUUUUUUCCCAAAAGAAAAAGGUAGCUAUUUGACACAUUAAUUUUAUGGGUUCUUUUCUCAUUUGGUCGUUGGAACAUUUGAAGAUAGUGGAUUAUUGAUUGCCUCCAAAUUGAAAUAUUUGUGUUUGGCUUGUGUCUCUACCCCCCCUCAAAUGGAUGUUUGUUUUGCAAAUGUCUCCUAAGUGUGUUGUAUCAAUAUUCUACUUAAAAUUUGAAGAGGUUCAUUAUAUUUCAAUUUAACUUCAUUAUUUUAUUGAAAUUUAAUGAAAUGAACCAUGAGCAUGUCUUAUUUAAGUUAUCGAGUCGAUAAAGGCAGUUAAUCCAAGUGGGGUUGUGCAAUGGUCAGUUCGAUUCCAAGUCGAAUUGAAGAAACCAAAAACCAAAUUUCUUUAUUUUUAUGAACCAAACUGAGCCAUAAUAUUAAAGGAACCAAAAUUUUGAUUUGGUUCAAUUUAAUUGGUUUUAAGCCAAUGUUAAAUCUAAGUACUCAUUCAAAGCAAACAAUAAAAAGAAAGAAAAAAAAGGUGCAUUAGAAAUCAUCCAUACAUAAUUGAAACCUUAUACAUAAUAGAAAUCAAAUCCCAUAAUACAAUCAAAAUCAAAAGACAAAGCAAAUCGCAACAGAAGAAGCGAACCCCAACAAAGAAGAAACCAAAUCCCAACGAAAAGAAAAUCACAACAAAAAGAAAAUCACAACAUAGGGCAAUAGAUAAGACUUUAGAGGACUUGACAUCUUGAGGAGGCAUAGGUCUCAGAGUCGGCGUUGUGGAUUGGGUGGGAGAGGAGAAACUGAAAUGGGGGAGAAGAGAAUAGUUGAGAUGUAUUAGCACAGAUAUUGGAUGGAUAAGAAGAAAUUGAAGAUUAAUAAUAGAAGCAUAAGAAUAAUAGAUAUGCAAUUGAAGAGGGAGAAGAAAUUGAAGAAGAAGAAUGAACAAAUUGAAGCAAUCAAAGUGACAGAACAACGAAGAAGAAGAAGAGAGGACUGUCAUUGUGUUGUCUUUGAGAGAAAAAAUGAGUUAGAUUAGGGUUUAACAAAUGUAUAUAUAAGUUUGGUUCCUUUUUUUGGUUUUUGAAGAAAAUAAUUGGACCAAAUCGAAAUUUGAAAUUACCUAAAAUCUAAAAUCAAAACUAAACCGCUUCGAUCAAAAAACUGAAUCGUCUGAGCCAAAUUGGUUUGGUUUAAAUCGUCGAACUGGUUCGGUUUUUCGGUUUAAACUAAAGCUGCACAGCCAUAGAUCCAAGUUGGCAUGUUGACUUUAUCUUCCAAAUUAAUGUGCUCGCUUAAUUGUGUAGGCUUCAAAUAGGAAAAUUGGCUAUUAAGUAAUUUAUUGAGAUUGUCGAAGCUGAGAGGCUUAAAAUUAGGGUCAAAGGAGGCUUGCAUAGAUGGUGCCACAUGGCGUGCAUAGAGCGCCACAUGGGUUUUUGUGGAAAG
RNAcentral lists this unclassified non-coding RNA (1482 nucleotides) under Hevea brasiliensis (rubber tree). The record is from RNAcentral. Lineage: Eukaryota; Viridiplantae; Streptophyta; Magnoliopsida; Malpighiales; Euphorbiaceae.